UUACAUCUUAUUGUGUCGCCUAUCUGUAUAGUUACUCGGAUCUUACAUUUUUGUAUUUUUGUCAAUGCAGGUGUGUUCUUCCUACUAUAAAGCAACAUGGAUUUCUUUAAAUUAAAUUGUGCAUAUUGUGGAAAAUAAAUCUUGUGUGUCUAUAGUCAUGUUCAUGUAUGUUCUGAACUGAGACAAAUAUUCUUCGUUGUCUAUGCGUUUUCCUUCUCUUAAUGAUGAUAGUGCAGCUCUCCAUCUUAUUAAUUCCUUACCCAUUCACUUGAAAUAUUGCCUAAAUAUUAUUAUUUUUGUAGUUGGUUUAGCAGCCUGACUUAGAUCUUCUACAUUGCCCAUAGAGAAUCUUCAAAAGUGUAGUCAUAUAUGUCACUUGAUAAAUUCCAGGACAUUAAUCUAUAAUGCUCCUAUGCGUUUCAGCUGUCACCAAUCCAUGGUGAAAUAAACAGGAGAAUAUAUGCUUGCAGAAGUUGUCAAGAGGCUUCAUUUAACCAUCAAAGACCAUGAGA
RNAcentral lists this long non-coding RNA (512 nucleotides) under Triticum aestivum (bread wheat). RNAcentral describes it as "long non-coding RNA (TAES_LNC019308)". Lineage: Eukaryota; Viridiplantae; Streptophyta; Magnoliopsida; Poales; Poaceae. The record is from RNAcentral.